GAUGUAGGGCGCAAGCGUUGUCCGGAUUUAUUGGGCGUAAAGAGCUCGUAGGCGGCCUGUCGCGUCGACCGUGAAAACCCGCAGCUCAACUGCGGGCUUGCGGUCGAUACGGGCAGGCUCGAGUUCGGUAGGGGAGACUGGAAUUCCUGGUGUAGCGGUGAAAUGCGCAGAUAUCAGGAGGAACACCGGUGGCGAAGGCGGGUCUCUGGGCCGAUACUGACGCUGAGGAGCGAAAGCGUGGGGAGCGAACAGG
This 253-nucleotide ribosomal RNA is filed under the name uncultured bacterium. RNAcentral describes it as "partial 16S ribosomal RNA". It matches the Rfam family "Bacterial small subunit ribosomal RNA", at positions 524 to 776 of the family's 1533-position model. The record is from RNAcentral.